Long non-coding RNA from Condylura cristata (star-nosed mole), 569 nucleotides. RefSeq lists it as uncharacterized. The transcript is spliced from 3 exons. NCBI's taxonomy places the organism in Eukaryota, Metazoa, Chordata, Mammalia, Eulipotyphla, Talpidae. The record is from RefSeq and is a predicted model, not a curated record.
AACUUCCUUUUGCAUCCGGGAAGCGUGGUUCGUGUAGUACUAGGUCGUCACGUUUUGUGCGCCAAAGACAAAAAAAAAAAAAAAAAAAUGCAGAGGACUCGGAAGUGUUGGGCUGCUGGGUGGCGCUCAUCUUUUAAAAUCUCUAGUUUCGAAGGGCCGAGUAGACUUAGUUCCUUAGGGCGUGCGGAGGCCACGUGCAGCGCUGGGCGCUGAGCCCCCGAGCUCGACGGGCCCUGGGCCUGAGCUUCAAGCAGCGCCGACGGACAAUGUCCUUAUGCUGACAGUGUUGCGUGGCCAUCUUAAGUCUGCGCCGCUACUGUGCAGUGGUAACAUCCUGCUGGUCGCCGCGGGUGGAAUCGGUUGGAAGCUGAGGUCCAAUGGGUGAUGGAAGUUGUAACGAGAUGAGAAUUCUGAAGUGAUGUGGGUGAAGUCUUGAUCAGGAUACUGCAUACACCCGUGAUUUUAAAUAUCAACAGGGAAUAGUGACUGCUAAUGUUAUGAGAACUAUUCUGGCUGUAUUUCAAUAUGUCUAAAUAAAAUGCGGUAUUGAAACAGUGCUUCAUUGUUAU